UGGUCAAGUUAUUAAGGGUGCAGGGCGGAUGCCUUGGCAGUAGGAGCCGAUGAAGGACGUGAUAAGCUGCGAUAAGCUUCGGGGAGUUGCACGUAAACUUUGAUCCGAAGAUUUCCGAAUGAGGAAACUCACUUAGAGUAAUGUCUAAGUAUCAUUAAGUGAAUACAUAGCUUAAUGAGGGGAACUCAGGGAACUGAAACAUCUAAGUACCUGAAGGAAGAGAAAGAAAUUCGAUUCCGUAAGUAGCGGCGAGCGAANGCGGAUUAGCCCAAACCAAUAAAGUUUUCUUUAUUGGUGUUGGGGACAGAUCAUAACGAAGAG
RNAcentral lists this ribosomal RNA (321 nucleotides) under Clostridioides difficile. RNAcentral's name for it is "bacterial LSU rRNA". It matches the Rfam family "Bacterial large subunit ribosomal RNA", at positions 1 to 321 of the family's 2925-position model. Lineage: Bacteria; Bacillati; Bacillota; Clostridia; Peptostreptococcales; Peptostreptococcaceae. The record is from RNAcentral.